Molecule: ribosomal RNA, 588 nt
Filed under: Triticum aestivum (bread wheat)
Lineage: Eukaryota; Viridiplantae; Streptophyta; Magnoliopsida; Poales; Poaceae
Description: partial small subunit ribosomal RNA
Source: RNAcentral
AUGGAAAACGAUGGAAAUCAACCGACUGAUUUCCACGCCACGCAAACCGCCUGGAACGCACGACACGUGUCCAGCCCCACGCGUGGCUCGCAACCGCCCCAGCCUUAUCUUCUUCGUGUCCACACGUUCGCCCCCACUCCUUCCCAGUUCCCACCCCUUUUUGUUGUCACGCAUGGGAGAGGAGGCAUGGCGCUGCAGCAUGAAGGAGGAGGCCGGAGCCUGGCGCCGCUCGUCGCCGGCUAUGCAGCGCAACACGGGAAGGCCGGAAGCGGGCGCCGCCCAUCGUCGGAGGAAGUCGUGUCCCCAUGGAUCUCGCCACAGCGGCGGAGCUACAAUACAGCACAAGCAGCGCCCCGACCCCGUGGAGCUCGCCGGCGGCGGUACUGCUCGGCUGCAAGGGAGCUCUCGCCGGCGGCUACUAGUGUUGCGUUGCAGUGCUCGCCCCGGUUGUCGAAGCUGCAGUGCAUCAACGCAGCAUCUGUGGUGCUGCUCGCCGGCGAUGAAGCUUCAACGCAGCAUCCAUGGCGCUGCUCGCCGGCGACAGAGCUGCAACGCAGCAGCGAUGGUGCUUCAACGCAGCAUCUAUAG